RNAcentral lists this ribosomal RNA (465 nucleotides) under uncultured bacterium. RNAcentral's name for it is "partial 16S ribosomal RNA". It matches the Rfam family "Bacterial small subunit ribosomal RNA", at positions 28 to 507 of the family's 1533-position model. The record is from RNAcentral.
GACGAACGCUGGCGGCGUGCUUAACACAUGCAAGUCGUACGGUAAGGCCCUUUCGGGGGUACACAAGUGGCGAACGGGUGAGUAACACGUGAGUAACCUGCCCACAACUUUGGGAUAACGCUAGGAAACUGGUGCUAAUACUGGAUAUGUGCCCCUGCUGCAUGGUGGGGGUUGGAAAGCUCCGGCGGUUGUGGAUGGACUCGCGGCCUAUCAGCUUGUUGGUGGGGUAGUGGCCUACCAAGGCGGCGACGGGUAGCCGGCCUGAGAGGGUGACCGGCCACAUUGGGACUGAGAUACGGCCCAGACGCCUACGGGAGGCAGCAGUGGGGAAUAUUGCACAAUGGGCGCAAGCCUGAUGCAGCAACGCCGCGUGCGGGAUGACGGCCUUCGGGUUGUAAACCGCUUUCAGCAGGGACGAAGCUUUUUGUGACGGUACCUGCAGAAGAAGCACCGGCUAACUACGUG